Molecule: ribosomal RNA, 253 nt
Filed under: uncultured bacterium
Lineage: Bacteria
Description: partial 16S ribosomal RNA
Rfam family: Bacterial small subunit ribosomal RNA
Source: RNAcentral
UACGUAGGGGGCAAGCGUUGUCCGGAAUUAUUGGGCGUAAAGCGCGCGUAGGCGGCGCGGUAUGUCGUGCGUGAAAUCUCCCGGCUUAACUGGGAGGGGCCGUGCGAAACUGCCGGGCUUGAGGUCGGAAGGGGAAAGUGGAAUUCCGGGUGUAGUGGUGGAAUACGUAGAUAUCCGGAGGAACACCAGCGGCGAAGGCGGCUUUCUGGUCCGAUUCUGACGCUGAGGCGCGAAAGCGUGGGGAGCGAUCCGG